UUAUAAUGGUUAAUUUAUAAUAGUUAUCAUUUAAAUAAAAUAGUCUUUUUGUAGAUAGGUUUGAUGUAAUUUGAAUUAUGAUAGUUUAUUGUACUGUAUAGGAUAAUAUUAUUUACUUUAAAAGUUUAUAUUAUUUUUGUACCUUGUGUAUCAGGGUUAAUUAAAAUAUAUGUAUAUUUGAUUAAAGUAUUCUCGAAGAAUUUGAAGCUAGUAUAUUAAUAAAUUUAUUGUUUUAAAAAUAUUAAUAAUUAUUUAUUAGUGGUGACAUGUCAGUCGACGAAUAGUAUAUCUAGUUUUAUGGGAAAAAAAUUUAAUUUAAAACUUUUCUUUAAUUUUUUAAUUAUUAAUUAAUUUUUUUUAGUUUGGUUUAAGAUAGAUGGGGCUAAGCUUGUUUAUAUUUUAUAAAUAGAAAUAGCUGAAAUAUUAUGAAUUUAUAGUUGGUUAAUGAUUUAAGUAUGUCAUAAUUUCACUUAAAAUAUUUCACUUUUUUUUAAUUUUGAAGUUUUACUAUAAUGUUUUAAUUACUAUAAUAUUAAAAGUAAUAAUGAUUAAAUUAGUAUAUAAGGAAUUAAUUUAUGUUUUUUUAGUGGAUUAUUUUUAGGAAUUCGGCAAAGAUUUGUUCGCCUGUUUAUCAAAAACAUCGCUUCAUGACAGAGUAUGAAGUAUUGCCUGCCCUAUGAUUUAAUUAAAUGGCCGCGGUAUACUGACCGUGCAAAGGUAGCAUAAUCAUUAGUCUUUUAAUUGGAGGCUGGAAUGAAAGGUGGGACGAAAUAACUACUGUCUUAUUCUGACAAAAUUGAAUUUAAUUAUUGAGUAAGAAAGCUUAAAUAAUUUUAUGGGACGAUAAGACCCUAUAGAGUUUUAUAAUUUUAUAAAUUAAAUUGGUUGGACUACUGUCUUAAUUUUUGAAAUUAUUUUGUUGGGGUGAUGAGAAUAUAUAAUUAACUCUUUUUUAUAAAGUACACAUAUUUGUGGUUAAUUGACCCGUAUGUUAUGAUUAGAAGACUAAAUUACCUUAGGGAUAACAGCGUAAUUUUAGUUGAGAGUUCACAUCGACACUAAAGAUUGCGACCUCGAUGUUGGAUUAAGAUCAUUAUUAGGUGUAGUAGCUUAAAUAAUAGGUCUGUUCGACCUUUAAAGUCUUACAUGAUCUGAGUUCAGACCGGCGUGAGCCAGGUUGGUUUCUAUCUAUUAAGUUUUAUUAUACUUUAGUACGAAAGGACCAAGUAU
RNAcentral lists this ribosomal RNA (1230 nucleotides) under Diploptera punctata (Pacific beetle cockroach). Its description in RNAcentral is "16S ribosomal RNA". The stretch from base 810 to 1230 matches the Rfam family "Bacterial large subunit ribosomal RNA", at positions 2049 to 2699 of the family's 2925-position model. Lineage: Eukaryota; Metazoa; Arthropoda; Insecta; Blattodea; Blaberidae. The record is from RNAcentral.